UUAGGUCCUAUUCCACCACUUCCUGGAACUUGACUCCCACUGGCUGGACCGUAACCUCCUCCAAAGCCACCUAACUCAAAGGUACGAGACCUGUUCCAGCACCUUGACCUCUGUUGGCCCCAGUUCCUUGGGUUCCAAAUGCUCCAGCUGUGCCCCCUGCCCCAAAGCCUCCAUACCCUAAUUAAGAGUAGAGGACAUGUGUUUUAUUUUCAGAGCAGCUCCGCAAGGGUUCUUUAGACUCAGGCAGAUGUAUGUAGACCAUUCCUGAUUUAGGGUCGCCCACUGAAACAUGUUUACUCAGCAGAGGGCUUUAUCAGUAAAACGUCUUACCUGACUUCCCAGGUUUGACACCAGCACCUGUGAGUGGACAACACAUAAUCUCAUUAGUUUGCAAAUAUAUAGACGACAUAGUGCAAUAUAUCUGUCAUCUACAUUAUUAUUAACAUGCCUGUGCCUUGACCUCCUGGACCAAAACCAGCAGCUGGCGCUCCGCCAGGCCCAGUUCCAUAGCCGCCAAUACCACCUGGCACAGCUCCACCUAGACCAGUUCCCUGUCCUGUACCGAAGCCUUGACCACCAUAGGCACCACCUUCAAUUGGAAUGAUCAAAGGGAUAUAUACGUUGAUUGAAUACAUGGUAUGGUAUUUCAAUUUAUUGUAAACAAGCUGGACCAGAUAGUCUUACCUGUUUUCGGAGGCUUGACACCUGUCGAAAUAUGACCAAUUAAAAUAGAAUUAUACUGUAUACAAGAAGCAUAUUCUAUUAGAUUAAAUUCUAUCAUACCAGCACCAAAUCCUCCAGGUCCACCACUGCCUGGACCAUAGGUGCCAGGCCUGAAACCUCCGGGUGCCUGACCACCGAAGCCACCUGAGGGGGCCGGCUCCUCCUGCUCCAGGACCAAAUCCUGUACCGGCACCACCUGGUCCAAAUCCAGUUCCUGCACCACCUGGUCCAAAUCCAGUUCCUGCACCACCCGGUCCAAAUCCAGUUCCUGCUCCACCCUGGCCGAAUCCAGUUGCAGCACUCGCACCUUUUCCAACUGCUCCCCCAGCAGAGAGUGAGAACUGAUCCCAGCAAAGUCGGACCCACCUCCUUGCAGCGCCGGCCUCCACAGGGCGAGUAGGACGACCCCCCGGAGCAAAGUCUGGGAACGCCUCGGGAUCCCCCGGGAGGAGCUGGACAAAGUGGCUGGGGAGAGGAAAGUCUGGGCUUCCCUGCUUAGGCUGCUGCCCCCACGACCUGACCUCGGAUAAGCGGAAAAUGAUGGAUGGAUGGAUUA
Long non-coding RNA from Nerophis ophidion (straightnose pipefish), 1279 nucleotides. RefSeq lists it as uncharacterized. The transcript has 5 exons. The record is from RefSeq and is a predicted model, not a curated record. Lineage: Eukaryota; Metazoa; Chordata; Actinopteri; Syngnathiformes; Syngnathidae.